This is a long non-coding RNA of Suricata suricatta (meerkat), 473 nucleotides long. RefSeq lists it as uncharacterized. NCBI's taxonomy places the organism in Eukaryota, Metazoa, Chordata, Mammalia, Carnivora, Herpestidae. The transcript has 2 exons. The record is from RefSeq and is a predicted model, not a curated record.
UUGUAUCAGGCUCACCACCAACUCUCUCGUCACGUAUCCAGUAUCCAGGUCCCUGUUCAGGUGCCAUUUGUGGUAGAAUGUUCCUCGUGAAGAGGGGGUCCUGGGGAGAAGACUAUCGACAAGCGACUGUUCCCAAAGGCUGAUGGUCGAUGGCAACACUGUUCCUUCCAGCUGACAGCUGAAGGAACACAACGACCAUUUCCAGGUGUCCCGGGAAAUGCAUACAUCCCCAGAAGCUGAUGACUAAUGGAGAAGGACCAAGAGAGCUAAAUUAUUUCCUAUUGAGGCUACCCGGGUGAAGAGUAUGAUGUAACUGAAGACGGUUAUAUCCUUGGCCUCUGCAGAAUUCCUUAUGGGAAAACAAACAAUGAUGAUUCAGCUAAUACCCAAUUGAGAACAAGUUGGUGACUUUCUGGGACCCGAGAUUUUUCACUUUUUCACUUCUUUUCAGUAAAUUUAGGACAAGAAAAGGA